Molecule: long non-coding RNA, 4781 nt
Organism: Vombatus ursinus (common wombat)
Lineage: Eukaryota; Metazoa; Chordata; Mammalia; Diprotodontia; Vombatidae
Source: Ensembl
AUGAGGAUCCUGGGCUUUCGAACUGGGAGGGAUCUUGCUUCACUUUACAGAGAAGGAAACAAGCCGAAAGAGGCUGCACAGAGGAGUGAGCAGCAGAGCCCUCAUCUCUUCUUGGUUGAUAUGCCAUAUGUCCUGGCAGUCACAGUACCAUUCCCAGGCCCCCGUCCUGUUCCCAGCUCAGCCCAACUCUCAGGCUAUCAUCCUAGGAAGCUACUCCUGUGGAGAAGGGACCAGGCAUCUGUACCAACCACUAGUCACCUGUCACUCACUCGGCAGACAAGCCCUGGCUGGCCUCUCUUGGGGAGAGCCAGGAGGCAGCAUGUGCUAGGCAAGUCAAACCAAUAUGACCACCAUGACCUGGUGCCACCUCCCUCAGACCUGAUGGAGACAGCCCAGGACCCUGAAACUAAGAGCCUUGGGAAAAGCAAGGCUUCCAGCCCUCUGCCUGCAGCCACCAUGCUGGGAAGUGAGACCUUUGGGGACGUAGCCUGGGCCUCCUCCUGCAGGGGCUGCAGCCACAGCUACUGAAGACCCAGGAAAGAGGGCUCUUGUCUCCCAAGUCCUUUGUAUUAUUGGAUGGUCCUACAUCAGAAACGGAUAGGAUUUUAUCAGCGGAAAUGACAGUAAAGAAAAGGCGUUAGUAUCUGCUUUGCCACUCUACCCAAAGAACCAUGGGCCUGUUCCAUCUGGCUUACAGCUGAAACAAAUAUCUGUUGUUUCUUCCAUUAGAAUGUGAGCUUCUUGAGGGCAGGCACUGGGGGACUAUCUUUUCUAUUUGUAUCCCCAUUGCUUUGCACAGAGUAAGUACUUGUUUUAUUUUUCAUAAGGUAGUGAGGUAAUGCAGGAGAUAGAGCACAAAAUUUGGAAACAGGAAGACCUGAGUUCAAAUCCUACCUCAGACACUCCAUAGGUAUGUGACCCUAAGCAAAUCUCUUCUGUGUCUCAGUUUCCUCAUCUGUAAAAUGAGGAUUGGGGCAGCCAGGUGGUGCAGUGGAUAGAGUGGUGUCCCUGGAAUCAGGAAGACUCAUCAUCUUCCUGAGUUCCCAACUAGCUGUAUGACCCUGGGCAAGUGUUUGCCUCAGUUUCCUCAUCUGCCAAAUGAGCUGGAAAAGGAAAUGGCAAACCACUCUAGUAUCUUUGUCAACAAAACCCCACGUGGGGUCACAAAGAGUCAGACCCGACAGAAACAACUGAACAACGACAAAAUGAGGAUGAUAAAAGCACCUGCCACACACAAUUGUUGUGAGGAUUAAAUGAGUCAAUAAGUCAAGUGUUUUGCAAACCCUAAAGAGCUACAUAAAGGCUAACUAUCAUCAGUCAUUGGACAAUGUUGACCACCCUGUCCUCCUGGCUACUCUCUCCUCUCUGGCUUGUCACGACACUUCGGUUUCCUGGCUCUCCUUAAACUUUUCUGACUGACCUCCGUAAGUGGGAAUUGUGGAAACACAAUUGGGAACCUCGCCGACUCCAUCUUGUGAUUCUAGCUCAGUUCCCUUUCCAUUCAAUCAUGGGUCUCGUCCUGUUUCUGCCUUGUGAGAAAAUGUUUUUCAGUUACAGUAAUUGUAAACAAAAAACCAAAAAACCCAACACCUUCAUUGCAUUGUUUGACCCAGUCCUAUGUGUUUGGGAAGCUGGACACCUCCGCCUGUGGCUUUGGUCAUUUCCAUCACGUCCCAUUCUCCAUGACCCCAUUUGGGGUCUUCUUGGCCUGGACGCUGGAGAGGUUUGCCGUUUCCUUCUCCAGCUCAUUUGGCAAAUGAGAAAACUGAGGCAAACAGGGUUUUAGAGACCCUUAUCUAAGAAGGAUCUAGGUUACGCUGACCAGAAACCCGAUGGGAUGCAAAGAUUGAUACAAGGAGUUUUCUCACGAUUAUACAUCUCAAGUGACCCAUGUAACUUAUCUGAGAACCAUGCUGGUCGAUCCUUGCCCUGUCAAAAAGGUCUCGCUCUGGUGUGUGUGUCGUUAAGUGGCCUCUAAGAGGAAUCCUCAGAAGGUUCUGAGCAGGAGCAAAAUGUAAUAGCUUUCUAGGACAAAGUUCCGACUGCUUCACCUGUCAUGCGAGGCCUGUUAUAGCCUAUCCCCGGCCCUGUCCCAGCAAUCACCGCCUGUUCUGAUACUCUGCCACUCCAGCCAGAUAAGUCCUUUCUGGUCACCUUCCCCCUUUGCAGCUGAUUCUUUCCUUUCCACAAGGCCCAGCUGCAGCCCAGGAAGUCUCCUCCAGGAAGCCAGGGAAAUCACCUUCCGCACAGUCCCUAGAAAGCGGCCCAGAUUUGGAGCCAGAAUCCUUGGGUUCAAGUCCUGGCUAUGACACUAAGCCGUGACUAUCAGCAAGUCCCCCUGCCCUCCUCAAGCAUUGGUUUCCUCAUUUGUAAAAGUAGUUCAGCAACAAGUAAGCCUCAUAAGGUUGUGGUAAGGAAAACAUUUUAGCAGCAGAAAAAUGCUACAGGGAUGGAAGCAGUGGGAAUCAUUUCAGCAUUUCUUAUCUAUUCCUUAUCUAUUCCUUUUAUUUGCUAUGUAACAGGUGUAGCCUUGAAGUUUUAAAAAAAUUAAAUUUUUUAUUUUUAAAUUUCAUCUUUUUAAUUAAUUUAUUUAUUUAUUUUUAGUUUUCAACAUUCACUCGCAUAAGCUUUUGAGUUUUAAAUCUCUCCCCGCUCCCUCCCCAAGACGGUGUGCAAUCUGAUACAGGCUCUACAUAUACAUUCCUAUUACACGAAUCUUCACAUUGGUCAUGUUGUAAGAAAGAAUCAGAAACACUAAGAAGAAUGUAUUUUUUUUAAUUUUUCGUGUGUUUUGUCUUCUAUCUCCAAGUGGACUGAAAGCCCUGUGAGGGCAGGGACUGUGCUUAUACAUCUCUAUAUCCCCGUCAGCAUAGUCUCGCAUGGGGCCUUAUACUCUACAGACGUUGAUAAAUAUUUGUGGAUUGAUUGAUGGGAAAGGAGAGGACAAAAAGAAACUGAUACGGGGUGCUGGGAGGUUGAUUGGGAGCAGACAGGGUCACGCAGAUGAUUGCUGCGGUUGUCUGGGCACCCAAAUAGGGGAACGGGGCCAGACCCUGCCCCUCCGCCUCCGUUGGCCGGAUGACCUCAGUAACAGGAGAAGCGCAACAUUGCAGCUGCUCAUGUUUUGAUAUGUCAGAGCUGGACAGUCCUUCCUCUGCCCCUUCUCCCCACACCUUGAACUCUGUCCUGGAGGACAAACAGAGGUCCUCUCUCCUCCCUGCCCUCUUUAAAAAAAUCCACUCAGAAUCCUAAGCCCCUUUAAGAAUAGCUAGGGGUUAAGCGCCUGCCUUUCAACCAGCUGCUUACCAGAGAAUGCCACCCCUCUCCUGUCCUGUCCUGGGCUGAGGCUCCCACUAAGAGGAAGCAGUUGCGGCAGAGUCUGUUGACAGAAGCGGGGCACCCCGUCCCCCCUUCCUUCCUGGGCUGGAGGGAGGGGACAGAGGCGUUGAGAAGUCCAGGCCUAGGAACCUGGAGGUCUCCUGACUCCCCAUCCAGAAGUACUUCCACCAAACCAUAGAAAAGGUGUUCGAAGGCAGUGCCCCUGAGGAUGCCCCUUGGAUGCCAACUUCAGGUUGGCACCAUGGUGAGCUGAGGAAGUAGUGUGCUCUAUUUCCCCAGAGACCUAGAAAAGCGUGGUUAUUCUUAUCAUCAUUAGCUUACAUUUAUAUUGCAGGUUCAAAGUGCUCUACCUACGUUAUCUUACUGACCCUCCCGACAACCCACUGAGGUCGUGUCCGAUUCCGUGACCCUAUCUGGGGUUUUCCUGGCAGAGAUACUGGAGUGGUUUUCCAUUUCCUUGUCCAGCUCAUUUUACAGAUGAGGAACCGAGGCAAACAGGGUUAAAUGACUUGCCCAAGGUCACACAGCUAGGAAGUGUCUGAGGCAGGAUUUGAACUUAGGAAGAUGAGUCUUCCUGAUUCCAGGCCCAGCACUCUGUUGCACUAUAACAACCUGGUGAGGUAGGAGAUGCAAAUAAUGCUCUCAUUGGAAAGAGAAAGGAUGGGGGACAGCAAAGGGAAGGAGAGGAGAGAGGAGGGGAAGGGACAGGACAGGACAGGGUAGGACUGGAGAGAAAAGGAGAGGAGGUGGGCUCAUUCUGAUUUCCCAAGUAUUACAUAUGACAGGGGAUUAAGACCCAGAAAAGGGAUGAAACUGUCAAAUGAUUCGCUAACUGACCCUAUUCUCUGCCUCCGAGGGACGGGCCAACAGUCAGUAUUAAAGUCAAGGGCACGUGCCCCUGCAACCUCGCUGGAGAAGCAGGAUCCCCAUGAAAGCAAUGAACACAAAGAAACGUGCUUAUUUCUCCUUGUUGCCACAUGCAUCCUGUCUCCCCAGCUAAGACGCCCCCAGGACGGGCGCCGCUUACACGGCUGUGUAUGCCCCCACAGGGCUGGGCGCCCAUCGUCGCCUCUCUGCCACCUCCCGGGGGGCCUUGCACACCGCGGGCAUUCAGUAUUUGCUAGCCACAUGACCCUAGUGAAAGUUUCUUCCCUUUCUCUGAGCCUCAGUUUUCUCAUCCGUAAAAUAGGCACAAUAAUACUUGUACCACCUAUCCCACAGGACAACUGUGAAGAUAAAAGGAAAUGAUGGCUCUAAAGCACUUUGUCAGCUUUUGAGCUGUGGGUUGAUAUAAAGCGUGAGAUUGAGACAGAAUAACACAGUGAAAAGAAAACUGGACUUGGACUCAGGAAAGGCUUCACUGCCUUCUCUCUCAAUGCUUCAGUUUCUUCAUCUGUUAAAUGGGGACAAUAAAAAAUAAAAAUAUACUAAUAUAUGGAACA